GACGCUGCCCAUCCUCAGCUGAAUUCCACGAAUCUCACUUCAGGAGCUUCGACGUCUACGAUCCAUUAUAUGCAGGAGUUAGAGAUGCAAACUUUUGAAUACAAGACUAUACAACUUUCCUUCAUGAUAAAGUUGCAAGCCAACAAGUGACUAUACAACCUAUCUUCAUGAUGAAGUUGCAAGCCAACACUAAACUACCCAUAAAGAUUAACCCCCAAUUUUAAAUUCCUUACUAACCUAUCUAAGCCUUUCUUUUAUUUUAGAAAAGUAUUAUAAUAAUUUUCUAAUCUCAAAACUUAAUUCCUAUGGAUUAAUAAUAAUUUGUGAACAUGAAAACAUUAUUCCAUAUUUUAUGCAUUUAAUAAAGGUUAAGUAUUUAUUUAAAUACCUUAAUGAAAAGGCAUUAAACAAAUACCUAAGUUUUUAUUAUUUUUCCUAAGGUAUAAGAAUUUUAAUGCAUAAAGGAAAAUAAAAUAAUUCCUAACAAAAUUGGUUUCACUAAUUUUGGGCACUUCUAGAAUUUCCUGUGAAUUAAAUGGUGUAAACCAAAUUUUUAAACUCUUUAUCUAUAAAACGAAAACCUAAGGUUUAUUUAAAUAACCCCAGCCCAAAACUUUUCUCACUCGCACUGGGCCCAAAAGCCGGCCUACCAAUCUUCUCCUCCUUUUCCCCUGGCGCACGGGCCUGCUGAACCGGCCCAACGAGCGCCCAACUUUAGCGGGCCUCCUCACGACCGGCCUGCCUUCCUCACAGGCCAACGACCCAACUUCCUCCUCCUUAACCACCCGUCGGCCCACCUUUCUUAUCCCUUUUCUCCUUCCGACGCUCAGCCUGUUGAUCCGGCCCACAGCCUUCCUUUCACCCGCCGGCCCACUUCCUUUCCAAGCCGAAAAUCGGCCCAUCGGCUCUCCCUCUUUUCCCCCUCUUGCAGCUGACGAGCGGGCCCCCCUUGGUCAGGGGCUUCUUCCUCCCCUGGCCAAGAACAGAGGUGGAACAGGCCGGCGGGGGCUCACCGGCGACGGGGCCGGGCCGGGGAGGCAUCCCCAGGCCGCGGCACACCCGUGGGCGGCGGCGGCCCCCCGGGAGACGGCCAGAGAUGGCUUCUCCACGGCGGCGGGCGGCUUGGCCGGCUGCCGGCCGUGGCCUCGCACGGCGACGGCACAACACGGCCUUCGGCCUCCUCCUACGGCUCCCAAACAACCCAGCAUCGCGACUAGGACCCAAACAUUGAAGAGAAACGGGCGGCACAGAGAGCUCACCGGAGGAUGGUGGUGGCAAUGGGCGGACCGGUACGGCGGCGAUGCCCGGGCUGGCAGCGACGAACUGGACGACGGGCAGUUGCAGGGCGUCGCCAGGGCGUCGCGGUGGAGUCAGAGAGGUAGUUGGUGGCUGGUUCACGAGGAGGAAACGGCGGCGCGAAGAAUGGCCGGCGACGUGCUGCUGGCUCGCUCGAGCUCUGCUCUCGGCGGUGAAAAGCGGCAGAGUAAAACGGAUAGACGCGGGAGCAGCAACAUUACGAUUUUUCACCGUGCAUGACGUCCAGCUCGGCUCGCGGUAAGCGGCGUGGCGCGGACGUGGCCAUCACGCUGGCCGGCAAACGUGAGAGCCGGUGUCUCUGUGCUUUCUGUUCUUCCCUAUUAACACUUGCUUGUACUCAAAUCUUCCAAGGUUCAGAUGUUAAAAACUCCCAAAUUUUCAUUGUAAUUCUUGCGAUUCGCAACACUCCUUUAAACAAUCUUGUAGUGUAAACUAAGUACUUCAAUUGAUAGAUUGACCAUUAACUGAGGCGAACACUCUAGCACCAAGAUUUCGAAACUCAAAGUCCGGCCGAAAACUCUCUGUAACUGAACCAGAACGAUUCAGUUUUGUCAGACCUCUCAGCAGAGCCAUUUGCUCCACUUUGGGUUCGAUUUUAACUGCCCAAACUCACUUUAUCUUGCCCAACUUCCACUAAUCUUAGUUCAACAUACAACAAAGGUUCCAUUUUGCACAUAAGAACCCAUCUCUUACACACUAGAUUUUUCAAAAACUUGCACCAAAGAUUUGCUAAGCAGCCCUGUUCUUGAGGACAGCAUGAAGUUCUAACUUUGAGCCUCCAAAGAAAUUUGAAUUCUUUGCUUUCUUUGGCCAGCAACACAUCCAAAACACCCUUUAUGAAAGUUGGAGGAAAUCCAAAGUUCUACCUUUCAUAGAUUUGCACUUUUGGCUGAAUCUCGCUCCUUCCUCGUGAAAAUGUCUCUGAACUUUUCUGGACAUUGAACUUCAACUUAACUGAAUUUUUUUUUUCCUUUUGAACCUUGCUGUCAGAAACUUCAACAGCCAGUUACGACAAAAAUCCAAACUGCUCUUUCAAAAGUCCCUUUGUAAAAGUUGUAGUAAAUUUGCUGAAUUUCAAUUCAUAUUAUUACACCUCCUUCAGAUUCCCAACCAAUCGAGAGGAAUUUCCUUCUGAACCUGACUGCUACUUUUCCCUUUUUAACAGCUAAGCCUUUUGACAGAUUUUCUUCAGGUCGAUUUUCGUGGCUAAAAUUCAAUAGAGUCUUGCUCAGAGCCCUUAAACAAAGUUGUAGGAAAUAUUUGUGACUAUCUUUGAUACAUUUGGAGUUUCUGCUGAUUUUGACUCUAAGGGUUUGAAAUUUGCUUCCAAAACUGACUGUUACUGUUCAUUCCUCCAGUAUAGACAGAACUGUCAAUUUUUUUGAGCUGAAGGUUCAGAUUGUGUUUACUCCAUUUUUUUCACUUAAACUCUCAAAACUUUCUUUACAGAAGUUGUAGAGAACCUAUUUCUCUACAUUUCUCUUAGUCAUCUCAAAAGUCAAAUUCUUUUUUUUUUCUCUUCCAAAUCUAGCUCUGAAGCUAACUGCCAUUUCUUGCUUUUCACUGAACUGAAUUUGCACUGACUGUCUGUACUUCUUAACAGAACAGCACCCCCUUCUCCAAUUAAAUCUUGAAUUUCCACUUAACACUUCAAAUGCCAAUUAUUUCAUGCCAAACUUGGAGAUCAUGCUAAGCUUAAUAUAAAAGUUCCAUUUUGCCUAUAAAACCAAAAGUCCACAUAGGAUUUCUUCAAAAUCUCUUGAAUCAAAAUUCAUUUCUUUUAGAACUGUUUUCCAGAGGCAAUCAUUCCUACUUUCAGUUAGUGAACAGGAGCAUCCUCCAUUUUGAUUUUUGGACAAUUUAAGGUCCAUUUUCUUCUCAAAUGGUCUCUUUAAGUUCCAAAUGUCCAUAAGGUCCAAAUUCAUGCAUUUGUCAACUUUUUCUGAAUUUGAAGCUCUUAUUUGGCAUUUUUGGCUAAAAUUUGACCAAAAGUUGACUUUGGCCAUAAAAGCUCAUUAACCUCCAAAUCUUUAUCAUAUCCUGUUCUUGGCCAUUCUUGAGUGUUUUUAACACCCCGGGUGCUCUGCCAUACAGUUCUCAGCAGAUAGCUCGAUAAUCACUUGUUCCCUCUUUGAGUUCUAAUUUGGGAAUUUAAAUUCGUGUUUCUUGGGCUAAGAACUUCUGCAAUGGUUAACCAUAGAUUAAAGAUUCUAUUUCUCAAGUUGUCACCCAACUCUUGGUUGUAGGAGUCCUUUGAAUUUUUAAAUCUUGAAUCUUGAAUUCGAAUAUUUGGCUUUGGGUGAGAGGAGUCGAAGGGAGAUGGUAGGAGUUGGAUGGAUUUCGCUAGCGAAUGGAGCUCGAUCGGCCAUGGCUAUGCUUUUAAUAACACUGGGUGUUACACAUCCUAAACACCUUAAGCAAGAAUUAAAGCAAAAGUGAAGAACUUAUAUAAGCAACAUAAUCAUUAGUUGUUAUAUUAAUAUGAGAGCAUACAUAUGAGUUAUAUUCAAAGCUUAACCACUACUUAUCAUAACUUAGCAUCAUAUGUACCCCUCAAAAAUAACUAUUAAAAACAUCACAUGACUUGAGUAUAUGCAUCUACUAGAAAAUUUUCAUUAUCCAAUUAUAUAGCAAGCAUAUAUAUUAAUUAUAGGAGAUGUGGCAAACAUCUCAUUUGGAGCUGAGAUUUUUAUGGAUGAUAGAUGUUAUCAAAAUUACGGCUAUUGUAAAAUUUUCACAUGCUCAUGUUUUAUAAUUCAAUUGCUACGAAAAAGACAAAUUGCUCUUGCAAGAAAGCAUGUAAAAGCAAGAUAAUUCUAAAGAUCAUAAUUUCUAUAAACACAUAGCCAUACAAAAUGUUAUUAGGGUAGAACAACCUAAUAAAAAGGUAGUGGAACCAUAAUUUCUAUUUUUAGACACUCCUAAUAUUUAUAAAUCGCAUAACAAGCAUUAAACAAGUUAAACCAAAAACUAGGUCAUACAUGCACCAAUAAAUAUGAAAUUUUUACCACACCACAGAAUUUGGAGCAUCAAAACUUUAGAUAUGAAAAUGACAAGCAAACACACUAAAAUUUCCUAUUUAUCAAGAUUAAAUCAAAACAUGAUAAAAACAGUACACAACUAGCAUGUUCAAUAUUUUUUUAGCUAGAGAGUGUCAUCACAAGACUAAGACAACUGGAAUCACAAUUUUUGAACUUCUAGAACUCAAGAGAUGCAUCUAACCAUCUUAAAAGGAUUUCUAAAAGCACUUUGCAAGAAUAAAUAAAAACAUCAGAAACUUUCUGCUAACACAUAUUAUAUUAUGACUCUAAUACAUACUUCUACUCACAAGGAUUCUAAAACAUCUUCAUUAGCUAUUUUACAAUUUUCUACAAUUUACUAUGAAUUUCCAAAGUUUUAGCCUUUUUAGAUCUAGGAAAAAUAAAGAAAUCCGAGGCCAUCUUCCAAUCUAGCCCCUAGGUCUACGGGUUAAUCGCGCAAAGACCCUUGGAUCUUGCGCCUACACCCCUGGACAGAUUCCCCCUUCACUCUUAAAUCCGAACUUUUCACAGGACCCCCUACACUUCUUUCCCAAAAGCAAUCGGGUCCCUAGGCCCUUUCUUUUACCUCCAGUCACGCACAAAACAGCAGGUCACACAUAGCACGUCGCACGGCCGGCCGAGAACAAGGGGAAGGAGCACGGUGGUGCUAAGGAGGAGGGCGACAGGCCAUGCCCCAAGUUCAGGGACCUCACCCGUGGGGUCGUUGACGGGGGAUGGGCGGCGCACUAGAAGCUCCGAGGGGUGGCGGCGAAUGCCGUCGACAAGCCCGGGAACGAGCGAGGAAACUCGAUGCAAAUGGAAAAAGGACAAGAGCAUUACAGUUAGGAGCUCACCUAAGUUCCAUUUGAGCUGUUGGGGACGAGGAGGGCCAGAGCAUGGGGCGCCAUGUGAGGUCAACGGCGGCAGUGGAAAAGUUUUUGUAACUUGAGGGAAACUUCGAUUCCCGUCAAUUCUGUGGACGAUUGAGGGAGAGGAGGGGCUGAGGGUGUAGCUGGGGAAGUGGCGCAGCUUUGGGUGAGAGGAGUCGAAGGGAGAUGGUAGGAGUUGGAUGGAUUUCGCUAGCGAAUGGAGCUCGAUCGGCCAUGGCUAUGGUGAGGAGG
This 5458-nucleotide long non-coding RNA is filed under the name Setaria italica (foxtail millet). RNAcentral describes it as "long non-coding RNA (SITA_LNC005876)". The record is from RNAcentral. Lineage: Eukaryota; Viridiplantae; Streptophyta; Magnoliopsida; Poales; Poaceae.